RNAcentral lists this ribosomal RNA (73 nucleotides) under Scenedesmus sp. BR2. RNAcentral's name for it is "partial 26S ribosomal RNA". It matches the Rfam family "Eukaryotic large subunit ribosomal RNA", at positions 1 to 73 of the family's 3401-position model. RNAcentral also lists the same sequence under 2 other names. Lineage: Eukaryota; Viridiplantae; Chlorophyta; Chlorophyceae; Sphaeropleales; Scenedesmaceae. The record is from RNAcentral.
CGACCUGAGCUCAGGCAAGGCUACCCGCUGAACUUAAGCAUAUCAAUAAGCGGAGGAAAAGAAACUAACCAGG